Myotis myotis is the source of this 979-nucleotide long non-coding RNA. RefSeq lists it as uncharacterized. The record is from RefSeq and is a predicted model, not a curated record. NCBI's taxonomy places the organism in Eukaryota, Metazoa, Chordata, Mammalia, Chiroptera, Vespertilionidae. The transcript has 5 exons.
CGAUGUUCCUCUCUCAUCCAUGUUCCUAUCCCUUCUCCCUCUCCCUUCCUCUCUCUGAAAUCAAUAAAAACAUAUUUUUAAAACUGAAUAAAGUUUGUCCUCUUCAGGCUACUAAGGAGGCAGCCACGGACCAGGAGCAAGAUUCUCCCGGAACUGCCUUCUGACCUCGCAGAACGUCAAUGUAAAGCGAUCUAAGUUGAAUGCACUCUUGAAAAACGAGGUGGGUGUAGAAGAAAAAGAAGUUUCUUCUGAAGCCUUGAAAAGGAGCACCCGCCUAUCGCACAGGGCCACAAUCGCUGAGAGUUUAUGGUGAGGAUUUGCUGACAUGGGUGUGUGUCUGCCUGGACGCCUGGUGCAUCAGCAGCUGGUCAGGAAGCCGGUGAGCACUCCUGGGGACUGAGCAACCUGCCCCAGGGCUGUGGAGGCCGGACUGAAAGCCACACACUGGACUGUGUGACCCGCUUCCCUUGACUGUGCGGUGACUCAGAUUUGCCUUCUAAAGGGGCAGAAAAUUAAACAGCCAACAGGCUCUCCUGACAUGUCAGAUCAACGGUGUUUCCUUCUCUCCACACCAAAUGAUGAUAAAGAAAUUGGGGCUUAGAGAAGAUACUAUCCUUGGAGAUGUGGUGACAACCAAUCCCUUUUCUUAGCUAAGAGGAUGAAGCUGGCUGAGAGGGUGUCUCCUUCCUGAAGAUGCAAACAUUUCUAAAUCAAGACGUGCCUACCAAGUCCUGCGUUGAAGAGUGAGCCAAGAAAGGUGAGCGUUCAGAGCUGAUUCUGGAAGCCACAAAACAGAGCCAGAGAAUCUGCAAACUACAGAGACAAAAGCAGGUGGGAAUGCUGGACAGGAUGGAAGUUUCCAGGCUAACACCUGGGGCAGUUUUGAUGUCCCUCAUGUCCAUAUUAGUUUGUCCAGAUGGGUCAGGUGUGGGUGGGACAGUCAAGAUCUGGGACCAAUCUGUUCCAAUAUAAAGCUUAG